UGGGGAAUUUUGGACAAUGGGCGCAAGCCUGAUCCAGCAAUGCCGCGUGCAGGAUGAAGGCCUUCGGGUUGUAAACUGCUUUUGUACGGAGCGAAAAGGUCUGCCCUAAUACGGUGGGCUCAUGACGGUACCGUAAGAAUAAGCACCGGCUAACUACGUGCCAGCAGCCGCGGUAAUACGUAUGGUGCAAGCGUUAAUCGUAAUUACUGGGCGUAAAGCGUGCGCAGGCGGUUAUGCAAGACAGAGGUGAAAUCCCCGGGCUCAACCUGGGACCUGCAUUUGUGACUGUAUAGCUAGAGUACGGUAGAGGGGGAUGGAAUUCCGCGUGUAGCAGUGAAAUGCGUAGAUAUGCGGAGGAACACCGAUGGCGAAGGCAAUCCCCUGGACCUGUACUGACGCUCAUGCACGAAAGCGUGGGGAGCAAACA
This 427-nucleotide ribosomal RNA is filed under the name uncultured bacterium. Its description in RNAcentral is "bacterial SSU rRNA". It matches the Rfam family "Bacterial small subunit ribosomal RNA", at positions 355 to 774 of the family's 1533-position model. The record is from RNAcentral.